Molecule: ribosomal RNA, 985 nt
Filed under: uncultured organism
Description: bacterial SSU rRNA
Rfam family: Bacterial small subunit ribosomal RNA
Source: RNAcentral
CCUGGCUCAGAAUGAACGCUGGCGGCGCGUCUUAAACAUGCAAGUCGUAGGAGGAACCCCGAGUGCUUGCAUUGGGGGGAGAGUGGCGAACGGGUGAGUAACACUGUGGAUUAUCUGUCUUCAAGUCUGGGAUAACCCCGGUGAAACCGGGGCUAAUACCGGAUAAUUAUGGCAACAUUAGAGGUGGGGACCUUCGGGCCUAUCGCCUGAAGAUGAGUCCGCGUCCCAUUAACUUGUUGGUGCGGUAAUGGCCUACCAAGGCGACGAUCGGUAACCGGCCUGAGAGGGUGUACGGCCACAUUGCGACUGAGAUACGUGCCAGACUCCUACGGGAGGCAUCUGUUACGAAUCUUGCGCAAUGGGCGAAAGCCUGACGCAUCGACGCCGCGUGGACGAUGAAGGCCUUCGCGUUGUAACGUCCGGUAUGCAGAGGAAGACUAAGUGUAUAGUACAUCUCUUGCACUAUGACGGUACCUGCCUAAAGCCCCGGCUAACUACGUGCCAGCAGCCGUGGUAAUACGUAUGGGGCAAUGCGUUGUUCGGAAUUAUUGGGCAUUAAGGGCGUCUAGGCCGGGGACUAAGUUAGGUGUGAAAGCCAUGGGCUCAACCCCUGAAUAGCACCUAUGGACUGGUCUACUUGAGUUCUGGGAGACGAGAGCGGCAUUCCCGGUGUCUCGGUGAAAUGCGUACAUAUCGGGAAGAACUGCAGUGGCGAAGGCGGCUCUCUGGCCUAGAACUCGACUGCUGAAGCGCGAAAGCGUGGGGAGCGCACGGGAUUAGAUACCCCGGUAGUCCACGCUGUAAACGUUGUGUACUAGGUGUUAGUGGCUUGACCACUAGUGCCGUCGCAAACGCAUUAAGUACACCGCCUGGGGAGUACGUCCGCAAGGAUGAAACUCAAAGAAAUUGACGGGGGCCCGCACAAGCGGUGGAGCAUGUGGUUUAAUUCGAUGAUACGCGAAGAACCUUACCUGGGCUUGAACUG